RNAcentral lists this long non-coding RNA (331 nucleotides) under Hordeum vulgare. RNAcentral describes it as "long non-coding RNA (HVUL_LNC005838)". Lineage: Eukaryota; Viridiplantae; Streptophyta; Magnoliopsida; Poales; Poaceae. The record is from RNAcentral.
UGCCAAAGAUGGCCAGGUAUAGGCGGGAGCCUCUUGCUCUACAUUAACCUAUGGACACACGAGACUAUGUGAGACUACAAACACCAGACAUGGAAUGGCAUUCAUCACGCUACACUAAAAAUCAACUGAAUCUGUUCAAAAAAAAAUCAACUGAAUCGGCAAGAGUACAUCAUUAGAACAGAGGCAGCUCCGGCAGAAGCUCGGCAUCACUCAUACUCAUACUCAUACAGGGGGCAAUCCAGGCGAUGCUGGGGGAUUCAGAUUCAGACUAAUAUGUACACCAAGGAAAACUGCAGAGCACACACAAAUUGCUCACUAGCUCACACACNNN